CAACAGUUUCUGAUAAUUGCUGAACAACUAUAUCUACCGGAUCAAUAUCAACAGGUUAUGGAGCUUCAAUGAUUGGUUGUUCAACAGCCAACUGAACUGAAGGAGUGUUAUGAACAACAACCAAUCUAAUACUUGAGAUGGAAGACUCUCACUUCAGACGAGCAUUCCCAAAGGCAUACAUGUCGCAAACUCGAUUUUCAAGUUUUGAAUAACUCAAAAGGAGUCCUUAAGACAGCCUUGGUCGAAACUCGGUUCAAUAUGUACACUGCUCUCUUCAGAGCUUCAGUCCACAAGGACUUCGAAAGUUUGGAGUUGCUAAGCAUGCUCCGCACUGUGUCGAAUAAAGUUCGGUUUCUUCUUUUUUCUACACCAUUUUGGUCCAGAGAACCAGGCAUGGUAUAUUAAGCCACUAUCCCAUGCUCUUCAACAAACUUCGCAAAUAGACCAAGUGCUUGUCCAUUUUCAGUGUAUCUA
This is a long non-coding RNA of Syzygium oleosum, 474 nucleotides long. RefSeq lists it as uncharacterized. Lineage: Eukaryota; Viridiplantae; Streptophyta; Magnoliopsida; Myrtales; Myrtaceae. The transcript has 2 exons. The record is from RefSeq and is a predicted model, not a curated record.